This 314-nucleotide long non-coding RNA is filed under the name Ananas comosus (pineapple). Its description in RNAcentral is "long non-coding RNA (ACOM_LNC034954)". The record is from RNAcentral. Lineage: Eukaryota; Viridiplantae; Streptophyta; Magnoliopsida; Poales; Bromeliaceae.
UUGUAAUUUAAGUAUCUAUCUUUUUAGAGAGAGAUAACAUGCCAUCUGUUUUGUUCAUUUGUUGAAAGUUAAUUCAAUUAUAAACGUGAAGUAACUGGACUUAAAAUUUGAAAUCUUGAACCGACUGUCCUUAAAACAAAUAGCAAAAGACUUGGUGAUUAGUAUUCGAGGUCCUAAGUUCGAAUCCUAGUUGAUUCACAUUUUCAGCUAAGUUUAUUUUUAAAUGAAAUAAACGAAACAGAUAACGUACUACCUAUCUCUCAAAAAAUAAAAAUUGAAAUCUUGAAUAUCAACUAUUAAGCUCUUAGUCCACU